Molecule: ribosomal RNA, 250 nt
Filed under: uncultured bacterium
Lineage: Bacteria
Description: partial 16S ribosomal RNA
Rfam family: Bacterial small subunit ribosomal RNA
Source: RNAcentral
UACGGAGGGAGCAAGCGUUACUCGGAAUUACUGGGCGUAAAGGGCGCGUAGGCGUUCCCUCAAGUCUUGUGUGAAAGCCCAGGGCCUAACCCUGGAAGUGCACAAGAUACUGAUGGAAUUGAGUUCCGGCGAGGAAGAUAGAAUUCCCGGUGUAGCGGUGAAAUGCGUAGAUAUCGGGAGGAAUACCAGAGGCGAAGGCGAUCUUCUGGACGGAUACUGACGCUGAGGCGCGAAAGCUAGGGGAGCAAAC